UGGGGAAUUUUGGACAAUGGGCGCAAGCCUGAUCCAGCCAUGCCGCGUGCGGGAAGAAGGCCUUCGGGUUGUAAACCGCUUUUGUCAGGGAAGAAAUCUUCUGAGUUAAUACCUCGGGAGGAUGACGGUACCUGAAGAAUAAGCACCGGCUAACUACGUGCCAGCAGCCGCGGUAAUACGUAGGGUGCAAGCGUUAAUCGGAAUUACUGGGCGUAAAGCGUGCGCAGGCGGUUUUGUAAGACAGAGGUGAAAUCCCCGGGCUCAACCUGGGAACUGCCUUUGUGACUGCAAGGCUUGAGUGCGGCAGAGGGGGAUGGAAUUCCGCGUGUAGCAGUGAAAUGCGUAGAUAUGCAGAGGAACACCGAUGGCGAAGGCAAUCCCCUGGGCCUGCACUGACGCUCAUGCACGAAAGCGUGGGGAGCAAACAGGAUUAGAUACCCUGGUAGUCCACGCCCUAAACGAUGUCAACUGGUUGUUGGGAAGGUUCCUUCUCAGUAACGUAGCUAACGCGUGAAGUUGACCGCCUGGGGAGUACGGCCGCAAGGUUGAAACUCAAAUGAAUUGACGGGGUNUAGCUGUUUCCUG
Molecule: ribosomal RNA, 585 nt
Filed under: uncultured bacterium
Lineage: Bacteria
Description: partial 16S ribosomal RNA
Rfam family: Bacterial small subunit ribosomal RNA
Source: RNAcentral